GGUGUUGAUGACGCCGGGGGUACACCUGUUCCCAUUCCGAACACAGAAGUUAAGCCCGGUGGUGCCGAAAAUACUUGGCUGGUGACGGCCCGGGAAAAUAGGAAAAU
This 107-nucleotide ribosomal RNA is filed under the name Candidatus Excrementavichristensenella intestinipullorum. The record is from RNAcentral. Lineage: Bacteria; Bacillati; Bacillota; Clostridia.